GGCUCGUUGGUGUAGUUGGUUAUCACGUCAGUCUAACAUAACAUCCUCACGGAUGCUUGCGUUUGUACACUGAAGGUCCGGAGUUCAAACCUCCGAUGAGUCA
RNAcentral lists this transfer RNA (103 nucleotides) under Pyrenophora teres f. teres. RNAcentral describes it as "tRNA-Val". Lineage: Eukaryota; Fungi; Ascomycota; Dothideomycetes; Pleosporales; Pleosporaceae. RNAcentral also lists the same sequence under 1 other name. The record is from RNAcentral.